AAUUCCUCUAUUCAAGAAAGGGCUAAAGCACUUGAAGUUGUUCAGUACAUUAAAGAUACGUACCACGAUGGUAACUGCGAUGUCGCUGCAAUUGAGGAUGGUAAACUGAUGGCUGAUGCCGAGACCGGAGAAUUCUGGGGUUUUUUUGGUGGCUUUGCUCCUCUUCCAAGGAAGACUACACGGGAUGAGGCUAAAAACAUUGAUACUGUUCCUACUAGAUUGUAUAGAGUUCAAAAAGGGCAAGCAGAACCUGUUGAGAUUGAGUCUUUGACAAGGGAGUUGCUAGAUACGAAUGGUUGCUAUAUAGUUGAUUGUGGGAUAGAAGUUUUUGUGUGGAUGGGAAGAAACACUUCUCUUGAUGAGAGGAAAACUGCAAGUGGGGCUGCAGAUGAAUUACUGCUUGGCCUUGAUAGACCAAAGUGCCAUGUAGUGCGUGUAAUUGAAGGGUUUGAGACUGUCAUGUUCCGCUCAAAGUUUGAUUCUUGGCCUCAAUCAACUAAUGUGGCAGUGACAGAGGAUGGUAGAGGCAAGGUUGCUGCACUUCUAAAGCGUCAAGGGCUUAAUGUGAGGGGCCUAAUGAAAGCAGCUCCUCCAAAGGAAGAACCGCAACCAUAUAUAGACUGCACUGGCAAUUUACAGGUGUGGCGUGUGAAUGGACAGCAGAAGACUCUUCUUCAAGCAUCCGAUCAAUCAAAGUUUUAUAGUGGAGACUGUUACAUAUUCCAAUACUCAUAUCCUGGAGAAGAUAAAGAGGAGCAUCUCAUUGGCACCUGGUUUGGGAGGCAAAGUGUUGAGGAAGACAGAGUUUCAGCAAUUUCUCAAGCAGGCAAGAUAGUUGAGUUACUGAAGUUCUCAGCUACUCAGGCUCGCAUUUAUGAAGGUUAUGAACCACUUCAAUUCUUUGUCAUCUUUCAGAGCUUUAUCGUAUUUAAGGGUGGUCUCAGUGAAGGAUACAAGAAACACCUAGCAGAGAAGGAG
This 978-nucleotide unclassified non-coding RNA is filed under the name Hevea brasiliensis (rubber tree). The record is from RNAcentral. Lineage: Eukaryota; Viridiplantae; Streptophyta; Magnoliopsida; Malpighiales; Euphorbiaceae.